This 254-nucleotide ribosomal RNA is filed under the name uncultured bacterium. RNAcentral's name for it is "partial 16S ribosomal RNA". It matches the Rfam family "Bacterial small subunit ribosomal RNA", at positions 79 to 334 of the family's 1533-position model. The record is from RNAcentral.
CUUUCUUUGCUGGCGACCGGCGCACGGGUGAGUAACACGUGUCCAACCUGCCCUUUACUCGGGGAUAGCCUUUCGAAAGAAAGAUUAAUACCCGAUAGCAUAGUGAUUCCGCAUGGUUUCAUUAUUAAAGGAUUCCGGUAAAGGAUGGGGAUGCGUUCCAUUAGGUUGUUGGUGAGGUAACGGCCCACCAAGCCUUCGAUGGAUAGGGGUUCUGAGAGGAAGGUCCCCCGCAUUGGAACUGAGACACGGUCCAA